Molecule: ribosomal RNA, 393 nt
Filed under: Salmonella enterica subsp. enterica serovar Anatum
Lineage: Bacteria; Pseudomonadati; Pseudomonadota; Gammaproteobacteria; Enterobacterales; Enterobacteriaceae
Description: bacterial SSU rRNA
Rfam family: Bacterial small subunit ribosomal RNA
Source: RNAcentral
UAGACCGCCUGGGGAGUACGGCCGCAAGGUUAAAACUCAAAUGAAUUGACGGGGGCCCGCACAAGCGGUGGAGCAUGUGGUUUAAUUCGAUGCAACGCGAAGAACCUUACCUGGUCUUGACAUCCACAGAAGAAUCCAGAGAUGGAUUUGUGCCUUCGGGAACUGUGAGACAGGUGCUGCAUGGCUGUCGUCAGCUCGUGUUGUGAAAUGUUGGGUUAAAUCCCGCAACGAGCGCAACCCUUAUCCUUUGUUGCCAGCGGUUAGGCCGGGAACUCAAAGGAGACUGCCAGUGAUAAACUGGAGGAAGGUGGGGAUGACGUCAAGUCAUCAUGGCCCUUACGACCAGGGCUACACACGUGCUACAAUGGCGCAUACAAAGAGAAGCGACCUCGC